AGACAGGGUUGGUGCAGUCUCAGCUCACUGCAGCCUCAAACUCCUGGGCAGCUCAGGUGAUCUUCCCGACUCAGCCUUCUAAGUAGCUGGGGCUACAGUGCACAGCCAGAGGACAACACAUCACACACAAGAAACAGUUGUGCUCAUGUGAUGGGGGCCUCAGCACUAGGAAGGAGUGGACUGUUGGCGCACGCAGCAGCUUGAAUAAAUCUGAAAGUCACUACGCUGCGUAAGAGAAGCCAAAUAAAGCGCAUGCUGUGUACAGAGGGUGUCGAGAAUGCCUCCUACGUGACGGAAAGCAGAUCCGUGGUUCCCUGCAGACUGGCAGGAGCAGAUUCCAAAGGCACAGGAAGAAGCUUGCAGUACAAAGAUAAAAAUCUAAAGUGGUUGCUGUGGAGGACAGGGGUCAGUGGUGGAAGUGAGACCGAAAUAGACUCUGAAGUAAUAUCUGGACUUUGAAAUUGUUUCCUUAAUGACAACAAAAAAGGGAGUAAUCCUACCCACUGUAAGAGUCAUGACUCUUGAUUGCAGCUGACAGAAACUCAUGACAGCCUGCUUUAGAUGAAGGGGGAGAGAAGGACUGGAAGAAUCUUGGAGUUGGGAAUGUCACACGUAAUUGAAGGAAGAACAAGAAAACUAUAGUAAAGAACCCUGGGGUGGUG
RNAcentral lists this long non-coding RNA (662 nucleotides) under Homo sapiens (human). RNAcentral's name for it is "HSALNT0317514". Lineage: Eukaryota; Metazoa; Chordata; Mammalia; Primates; Hominidae. The record is from RNAcentral.